This 119-nucleotide ribosomal RNA is filed under the name Pteropus alecto (black flying fox). Lineage: Eukaryota; Metazoa; Chordata; Mammalia; Chiroptera; Pteropodidae. The record is from RNAcentral.
GUCUACGGCCAUGCUACUCUGAACAUGCCUGAUCUCAUCUGAUCUUGGAAGCUAAGCAGGGUGGGGCCUGGUUAGUACUUGGAGGGGAGACCACCUAGGAAGACCAGAUACUGUAGGAA